UCAAUCAAAAUUUGAUAAAGAGAUGAUGCAUAUUUAUAAAUACUGCAUUGGGCUCGAUUGAUUUUAUUUUAUUUAAUAUAACUGAUUGCUCGAAAUAAGUAAUAAUCUUAAGCUUAAAUAUUUUCAUUAAACAAAAAGUUAUCUAUUUAAUAAUAAUUAAUAAUGAAAUAUUUAUUAUUUUUAAUAGCAUUGUUUUCAAUUAAUGAUUCAGGAGAGUCACUUAAAUGUUGGUUUUGUACACCCACUGUUAAACCUCAGUGUGACAAUACCUUUCUAGAAAGUAAUCUUACAAUCCGAGAAUGUAAUUACAAUAAUUCGUUACCGGCUUGCAGAACAAUGACUUCCCUACUUUCAAAUGGUGAGUUGCGUGUGCUGUUGCGUGACUGUAAUAGAAAAAUUACAUACAGAAGCGAGCUCAUGGCACAAGAAGCAAGUAAAACCGAAGAUGUGUAUGUCGUUGAAUCACGUACAUACUAUUGUGAUACUGAUUUAUGCAACAGCGCGACAUCAGUUUAUUUUCAUCUUGAAGUCACGUUUGUCGUUAUAAUUUCAUUUUUAUGUUUAGUCUAAAAUUAUUGUCAAUCAUUGAGUACCAGGGAUGUGCGAAUGGUAUUCGAAUUUAAAAAAAAAAGCCAUUCGGCAUCCGAAAUGGAAGUAGAUUUCUAUAUAUAUAUAAUUUUAUAAUCACCCAUCAAAAAUUAUCAAAGAUAUAAACAAUGGCAUUAUCACCAUAACACAUGAGUCAAUAAUGUGACUUUGAACCCUUAUUAAAAGUGGAACAAUUAUUGUAAAACGAAAAAUAAAAAAAGGAAAACAUAGCUUUUCCUAUCGGCUAUCAAGUUCUUUCUACAUAAUAAGGAUAGAUAUACCCAUUAAAAAGUUUACCCAUUUACGAAAAAAGCCGAAAAAGUUGGAUUUUUCGUUAUUUUUGGAAUUUCAAAUGUCCGGAAUUUCUAAACUAGUUGACCGAUUUUGCUCAUCUUCGAACUUAACCGUAAUAAUUGUUCAUAGAAUAAGUGUGCCAAGUUUCAUUAAGAUCCAUUAAAAAUUGUGGCCGCUAUCAUCGCAACAUGGCGCGUUAUAUUACAUAUAUAUACAUUACAUUACAUACAUAUAUAAACUUUUGAACCAAUGGUAUUUUUGGAAUCGACUCGAUGAAUUGUGAUACUCUCUUAAAGUGAACCAGUGAAAUUCCACUGAUUCAACCAGUGAAAUUCACUGGUUUAACCAGUGAUUAAAAGUUCACUGGUUGAAUCAGUGAACGUCGCGCUCACUGGUUUCAACCAGUGAACUAAAAAUAUGUAAGCGCGCGGGUACAGCAGUAUUCUGUACAUGAGUAGUUUAAGUGUUUUAUUGUGUCAAUAAGUAAGUAAUAUUUAUUGAUUAUCUUCAUGUAAUAUUUCAAUUAACUUUUAUAUAAUAAUAAUAAUAAUUAUAUGACACAAUUUUUACAGAGUUUAAAAAAAAAUAACUUUGGAGUAAUUUCAAUAGCUUGGAGCUAACCUCAAAAAUUAAUGACAUAAUUUUAAAUUUAAACAAUAUAAAAAGCCCAUUGAAAAUGGAAACAAAUUAAAUUUUUAUAAAUCCUAAUAAAUAUUAUGUAUUUUAUUACAAAAUAAUUUUUAAUUAAAUAUAAUUGUUAAUAAGACUCUUUUAGUUCACUUUGUUUUUAAAUAAACGUUUAUAAUAAAAUAAAAUUAAUCUAACCUAUUGUGUUUAUAUUUAUGUAGUACACCGGCGUAUCACUGGUUCAACCAGUGAGCCAAGCGAUCAUCUUAGUCCACUGGUUGGAUCAGUGAUUUUCACUGGUUGAACCAGUGACCGCUCGAUUCACUGGUUGAACCAGUAGAUUUCACUGGUGAAUCAGUGAAAUUUCACUGGAUCAUUUUAAGAGAGUAGAUUACGGCAAAAUUCUUUGAAAAUUACACCAUGAGGACAAAUGCAAAAGAUAGAUUCUUAUAAAAUCUAAUAAAAAGAAAUCGUUUUUAUUAAAAAUUUUACUCUCUAAAAAUGAAUUAGUGAAAUUCGCUGCGAAUCCGUGGAUAGUCAUUAUUUCUCCUGCUAUAAAAGUAUACCGCUAAUUUAACCAGUGGUAGUUUUAGCUCAUUUCCAGAUCAUAAUCACUAAUUUGCAGUGAAUUUCACUGGUUCAAUUUUAAAGAGUAAAGUAUCCAGAUUCUCUAGCCUGAUCAACUUGCCCAAUUUUUUUACGUGAUCCGUAAACUGUUAAAAAUUUUUGGACUCGAUGUAGUGUAAAUGACGGUGUAAAAUUUUCGGGUAAAAAUUACACCAUUUAUUUUUCGUUUUUGAAAUGAUGUCUGACUUUACUUCGGCCUCCUUGGUAUUGUAAACAGAGAACAAUGAACGGAAUUUAAUUUAAUACCAUUAUUGAAAUUAUUACAAAAUAUCAAAAUAUUACCUAUUAUAUAACAUAAAAUAUAUGACCAUGUACUCGUACAUAAUUUGAAUUAAAUUUUAAUUUAACCAAAGCUAGGUCUAUAUGCUUUGUUGUUAUUUAAAAGACUCGAGAACAAAGCGAAUUAAUAAUUUAAAAAAAUAAUUGAAUUAUUCACACUCAGCAUUGAUGCGUGUAUCAAAAAGCGGGGUAACAGUAAUUUUAAUUAUGUUUUAUGAGUUUAGUAGCCAAUAUAUAUUGAUUUAUUUAAUUGAAUUGUUACAAAGGUAAAAGUAAAUAAUAACAUUCAGGAUAAGGGCAAACAAAAAAAAGUUAAUUAAAAUACCAUUGAUAUAAAUGAGGUAAAAAAUGAUAUUUUAUUAUUUCAAGCCAUGUUGAUUGUAGCUCUUUACAAUUUAUGCAUACACACAACAAUUAUCUCGUACAUCAAUUUUCAUCAAUAUUAUUAAUUUAUCAUAAAACGGGACUGAAUAUAUUUAAUAUUUCAACAUCCUCAUUUUAUUUAUUCAAAAAACAGUAAACAUGUAACGAACCUAUUUCAGUAAAUUUGUAACCGAUUUCAUUUAAUCGAUGCAAUAAAUUUUUUCAAUGUAUAACUAUGUACAUAUGUACACGAAAAAUUUUAAUUUUGUCAUUUAUUAUUAUCAUUAUAUUUUUUUUUCUUACGAAAUAAAAAUUUUUUUUAUUUCUAUAAAGGUUUCAAUUAUUGAUUCGAGUAUUUGUAACUUCUACUAUAUAAUCCCGUCAAACAAUAAAAAUAAAAAAAAACUAAUAUUCUAUUAAUAUGUUGAGUGAGAAAAAGUUGAAUUCGAGUAAUUUUUUUUUUAUUGUUUCCAUAAAUACUCAAAAUAGAUAAUUUUUUUAUAAAAUAAAAUUGAUAGACAUCAUUUCAAGAAAACUGUUGCUACACUUUAGUAAUAAAUUGUUAGAAGCAUGAAUUACAUAAGGCCAAGCAAAUGUUUCUUCAAUUUAGUUGAUACCUUCUCAAAUUUAUUACAAUUAAAAUCUUCAAUAAAGCAAUUAUUUGGUUAAAUAAAAAAAAGGAAUGAAAAAAAAAUAUAAUUAAUAAUUAGAAAAAAAUUAUUGCACUAAGAAAAAAAUUUGUUUUUAUAACAAAAUGAAAUUUCUCAUUGGCAUUGAUAAAAAUAUAAAAUAUGUUAAUUAUUUCGAGAGCUACUUCUAUAAACUAUUAAAUAUUAAAAUUUUAUUAAUUAGUUGUGUAAAUUAAUAUUUAAGAUGACAAACAUCGAUGAGUAACUUAAGAGUUUACUAAAAACAUGAUUUCUAAUAAGCCACCGUGGCUGAGCGCGCGUAGGUCAUAAGUCUCGCGCGAUCGGUCUGGGUUCGAAUCUUGGGUAGGGUAAAAUUAUUUAUUUAUAAAAAAAAUGUUUGUUAAGCUAUUAAACUAAUCUGAACACCAUUAGAUAAAAAAAUUCAUGUCUAAUAAUAUUUUUUUGACCAAAUAAAUUUUUUCUUAGUAUUAAGCAAGUAAAUAAAAUACUUGACUAAAGUCAUUAUUUUACUCCAUUGAAGAAAGUAAUUUUUGGCACUAUAGUUAAGUAACUAAAAUACUUAAACCAACCAGUUUUUCUUUGAAGUUAUACAUAUUUAUUUCUUAGUGUAAACAACCCUGAUUGAGAAACCUAAUUUGAAAUAAUUCAAACACGAUCCGCAACAAUUCAAAGUUGGCAAAAUUGACUAUAUAUAGAUAUACACUAGGGUGGUCGUUAAAAAUUAAAUUUUCUCAGGCGCCCCAUAAAAAGCUUCUUUUUAGUGAAAAAAUACCCGGGGAAUUUGGUUUUUUCGUUUUAGGUAAAAAGAACACGUGCCUCAGGACGAUCAAAGUUCAUUUUUCGAUGCAAUCGCGGUUUUUUUUAAAUAUCUCAUGAAAUAUGCAGAUUAAAGGAAAAAAUCAGAGGAUCAAUUUUGUAGGAAAUUAAAUUCUUGACAAAAAAGGUCAUAUUCAUUUUUUUUAUAAAAUGUGUAUUUAUGAAGAUAUGUUCAAAAAACAUUUUUUAGAUCUGAUGAAUUGGGCGUUUUAAGGAGUACAAAUUUUGAAAAUAAAAUUUUUAUAAGUAUAUAGAAACUACAACAAGCAUUAAUGAUUGAUAUGUUACGAGUUACGAAGUUGUCUAUAUUUGAGGAAAAACGUCAUUUUUGACAUUCGUUAUCCUUAAAAUGCUCAAUUGAUAAGAUCUAAAAAAGUUUUUUCAAAAUAUCUUCAUAAAUACACAUUUUAUAAAAAAAAUGAAUGUAACCUUUUUUGUCAAGAAUUUAAUUUCCUACAAAAUUGUUCCUAUGAUUUUUUCCUUUAAUCUGCAUAUUUCAUGAGAUAUUUAAAAAAAACCGCGAUUGCAUCGAAAAAUAAACUUUGAUCGUCCUGCGGCACGUGUCCGUUCCAAAUGAAAUUUCUGAAUCAGGGAAAUAACAACAUUAAAUUCAUCUUAAAAAUAGAGCCUCAUGUAAUUCCGGAACUAUCAUAAAUAUGGUGCCUCAUUAUUCUCCCGCCAUCUUUAACAUAAUUGUCCCUAAUUAGAUAAAUUAUUACUCUCAUCCCAAUAUUAAUCAUCUUCAAUUAUAUUAAUGAAAUCUAAAAAUUAAAUUUUGUAAAAAUAAUUAACCAAACUUUUAGUAUUCAACAAAUUACUAAUCAUACGCUACUAAUAUUUCAGUGUGUAGGUGAGAACAAAUAUGUACAUAAACAAAUAUGUGCAUUAAAUUUUCUAAAUGACAUCAAAGGAUUCCAAAGAUUCUCAAUUUUUGUUAAAUUCCCGAUCGGAUUCAAAAAUGUUAAAUAUUUAUCUAAUUAAAUGCAAUGGAUUUUAUCAUUUCAAUUUAUAAAUACAAAAAUUCAUUGACAUUUCAUCUAACGAAUCACACUGGAAUACGCAGUACAAAAGCGUACAAAUAUUUGUUAUUUAAUCUUUCCCUUUGCUAAAACGCCGGAAAAGAAAAACAAAUAGCCAACCGCAAAUAAAAACAAUCGCCUAACUGUAAUAGUAAAUAAUAAAUAAAUUUCUAUAUAACCAACUUAGUAUUUGUCUUUGCUGAUGUCUCAAAAUAUUAUUUAUACCUAAAGAUUUACAAAUAUAACAUUAUCACAUAUUCAUUAUAUAUAAAAAAAAAAAAAAUUAAAUUUGAAGGCUAAAUAAUUGUGACAUAAAUGUGAUAAUUCAUCGAUGACUUGAUUAAUUAAUUGAUAAUUUUGAUAUCUAAAAAAUUUUGAGCAGUAGUUAAAAUAAAACUAAUGUCCAAUACAGAUAAUAUUUAGUGAUAAUUGAUAAUGAAUCACUUAUUUUUUUUAUGGAUUAUUUCGACAUCAAUAAUUACUGUAAAAGCUAUUAAAUGUUAUGAAUGUACUCAUUGUACGGAUAUUUCAAAAUCAAAGGACGUAAUCGAGAAAGACUGCCCUGAAUCAGCGAGUGGUUCAGCUUGUUUGAAGAUAUCUUACGUACUUUCAAAUUACACUACGGGAGUAAGAGCUCGUAGCUGUAGUGUAAAAUCUUUAGUGGGUGACGAAAGAGCCGUACCAAAAGCAGCUGAUGACGAUCAGGAAAAAAGUCGAGUAUAUGUACAAAUGCUUAAUAUGUAUUACUGUGACACAGAUUUUUGUAAUGGAUCGAAUUCGUUAUUCUCAACUUCGUUUAAUAAUAUCAUAAUUAUUGUAUCAUUAAUUUCUCUGA
This is a long non-coding RNA of Microplitis mediator, 6098 nucleotides long. RefSeq lists it as uncharacterized. The transcript is spliced from 6 exons. The record is from RefSeq and is a predicted model, not a curated record. Lineage: Eukaryota; Metazoa; Arthropoda; Insecta; Hymenoptera; Braconidae.